This 778-nucleotide ribosomal RNA is filed under the name uncultured Neocallimastigales. Its description in RNAcentral is "partial large subunit ribosomal RNA". It matches the Rfam family "Eukaryotic large subunit ribosomal RNA", at positions 24 to 649 of the family's 3401-position model. The record is from RNAcentral. Lineage: Eukaryota; Fungi; Neocallimastigomycota; Neocallimastigomycetes; Neocallimastigales.
UAUGUGAUCGUCUCUCGCAUAUCAAUAAGCGGAGGAAAAGAAACUAACAAGGAUUCCCCUAGUAACGGCGAGUGAAGCGGGAAGAGCUCAAAUUUGAAAUCUUAAAGGGUUUCCCUUUACGAAUUGUAGUUUAAAGAAGUGUUUUCUGUUGAGGUUUUGGUAAAAGUUCUUUGGAAUAGGACAUCAUAGAGGGUGAGAAUCCCGUAUUUGACCUUUACUUUCAUACUUUGUGAUACACUUUCAAAGAGUCGGAUUGUUUGGGAAUGCAGUCCAAAAUGGGUGGUAAAUUUCAUCUAAAGCUAAAUAUUGGCGAGAGACCGAUAGCGAACAAGUACCGUGAGGGAAAGAUGAAAAGAACUUUGAAAAGAGAGUUAAACAGUACGUGAAAUUGUCAAAAGGGAAGCGUUUGACACCAGUGUUGUUUUUCUGAAAAUCAAUUAAAGAACUGUUUAUGCUAAGCUGUUUAGACUUUAUCAGCUAAUCUGUUUAGUUUUGAGUUUUUCUUUAAUGCACUUUUCAGUUAACAAGUACAACAUCAAUUUCUUUUGCUGUAAAAAAGCUUGAGGAAGGCUGGCUUGAGAUUCGUCUUAAGUGUUUAUAGCCUCUUGCCUAUGCAGUCGGAGAGAUUGAGGUCUGCAGCGUAGAUCCUUCGGGGCUAAAUGCAUUUGUGCUAAGUUAUAGCAUUUUAUAGACAACUUGUUGACUAUGAUUUGUCUUGUAGCUUACUCGCUUAUGCUAUUUUACCUACGCUUAGGAUGUUGAGUAGCGACAUACGCAC